AUGGACCCGCGGCGUAUUAGCUAGUUGGUGAGGUAACGGCUCACCAAGGCAAUGAUACGUAGCCGAACUGAGAGGUUGAUCGGCCACAUUGGGACUGAGACACGGCCCAAACUCCUACGGGAGGCAGCAGUAGGGAAUCUUCCACAAUGGACGCAAGUCUGAUGGAGCAACGCCGCGUGAGUGAAGAAGGCUUUCGGGUCGUAAAACUCUGUUGUUGGAGAAGAAUGGUCGGCAGAGUAACUGUUGUCGGCGUGACGGUAUCCAACCAGAAAGCCACGGCUAACUACGUGCCAGCAGCCGCGGUAAUACGUAGGUGGCAAGCGUUAUCCGGAUUUAUUGGGCGUAAAGCGAGCGCAGGCGGUUUUUUAAGUCUGAUGUGAAAGCCCUCGGCUUAACCGAGGAAGUGCAUCGGAAACUGGGAAACUUGAGUGCAGAAGAGGACAGUGGAACUCCAUGUGUAGCGGUGAAAUGCGUAGAUAUAUGGAAGAACACCAGUGGCGAAGGCGGCUGUCUGGUCUGUAACUGACGCUGAGG
Molecule: ribosomal RNA, 534 nt
Filed under: Lacticaseibacillus rhamnosus
Lineage: Bacteria; Bacillati; Bacillota; Bacilli; Lactobacillales; Lactobacillaceae
Description: bacterial SSU rRNA
Rfam family: Bacterial small subunit ribosomal RNA
Source: RNAcentral